UGGGGAAUAUUGCACAAUGGGCGGAAGCCUGAUGCAGCGACGCCGCGUGGGGGAUGAAGGCCUUCGGGUUGUAAACUCCUUUCGACAGGGACGAAGCUUUUGUGACGGUACCUGUAUAAGAAGCACCGGCUAACUACGUGCCAGCAGCCGCGGUAAUACGUAGGGUGCGAGCGUUGUACGGAAUUACUGGGCGUAAAGAGCUCGUAGGUGGUUUGUCGCGUCGUCUGUGAAAUUCCGGGGCUUAACUCCGGGCGUGCAGGCGAUACGGGCUGACUUGAGUGUUGUAGGGGAGACUGGAAUUCCUGGUGUAGCGGUGAAAUGCGCAGAUAUCAGGAGGAACACCGAUGGCGAAGGCAGGUCUCUGGGCAGUAACUGACGCUGAGGAGCGAAAGCAUGGGUAGCGAACAGG
Molecule: ribosomal RNA, 409 nt
Filed under: Actinomycetes bacterium
Lineage: Bacteria; Bacillati; Actinomycetota; Actinomycetes
Description: Actinobacteria bacterium partial 16S ribosomal RNA
Rfam family: Bacterial small subunit ribosomal RNA
Source: RNAcentral